This 531-nucleotide ribosomal RNA is filed under the name Cryptosporidium ryanae. Its description in RNAcentral is "SSU rRNA". It matches the Rfam family "Eukaryotic small subunit ribosomal RNA", at positions 345 to 915 of the family's 1831-position model. Lineage: Eukaryota; Apicomplexa; Conoidasida; Eucoccidiorida; Cryptosporidiidae. The record is from RNAcentral.
UGGACAGCUUGCGGGUACGGGGCAUUAGGGUUCGAUUCCGGAGAGGGAGCCUGAGAAACGGCUACCACAUCUAAGGAAGGCAGCAGGCGCGCAAAUUACCCAAUCCUAAUACAGGGAGGUAGUGACAAGAAAUAACAAUACAGAGCCUUACGGUUUUGUAAUUGGAAUGAGUUAAGUAUAAACCCCUUAACAAGUAUCAAUUGGAGGGCAAGUCUGGUGCCAGCAGCCGCGGUAAUUCCAGCUCCAAUAGCGUAUAUUAAAGUUGUUGCAGUUAAAAAGCUCGUAGUUAAUUUUCUGUUAAUUUUUAUAUACAAUGCUACGGUAUUUAUAUAAUAUUAACAUAAUUCAUAUUACUUUUUAGUAUAUGAAACUUUACUUUGAGAAAAUUAGAGUGCUUAAAGCAGGCUAUUGCCUUGAAUACUCCAGCAUGGAAUAAUAUUAAGGAUUUUUAUUCUUCUUAUUGGUUCUAGAAUAAAAAUAAUGAUUAAUAGGGACAGUUGGGGGCAUUUGUAUUUAACAGUCAGAGGAAAA